AAAACAAGACUUGAUACCACAGGGACAGACAACAAGCUGCAAGCUACUGUGAAAAGAAAGGAAUGACCCAGAACAGGAAGGAAGGCUGCCCUCCAGAGCAUGCAUGAGAGACAUCUCCAGACCCCAGAUCCCGGUUCCAACCCAGUGGUAGAUGAGCAAAUGUCCAUUGCUUCAAUA
This 177-nucleotide long non-coding RNA is filed under the name Anser brachyrhynchus (Pink-footed goose). RNAcentral describes it as "lncRNA (ENSABRG00000017239.1)". The record is from RNAcentral. Lineage: Eukaryota; Metazoa; Chordata; Aves; Anseriformes; Anatidae.